CCUACGGGAGGCAGCAGUGAGGAAUAUUGGUCAAUGGGCGCGAGCCUGAACCAGCCAAGUAGCGUGAAGGAUGACUGCCCUACGGGUUGUAAACUUCUUUUAUAAAGGAAUAAAGUGAGUCACGUGUGCCUUUUUCUAUGUACUUUAUGAAUAAGGAUCGGCUAACUCCGUGCCAGCAGCGGCGGUAAUACGGAGGAUCCGAGCGUUAUCCGGAUUGAUUGGGUUUAAAGGGAGCGUAGAUGGGUUGUUAAGUCAGUUGUGAAAGUUUGCGGCUCAACCGUAAAAUUGCAAUUGAUACUGGCAGUCUUGAGUACAGUUGAGGGAGGCGGAAUUCGUGGUGUAGCGGUGAAAUGCUUAGAGAUCACGAAGAACUCCGAUUGCGAAGGCAGCUUACUAAACUGCCACUGACAUUGAUGCGCGAAAGUGUGGGUAUCAAACAGGAUUAGAUACCCUUGUAGUC
This 460-nucleotide ribosomal RNA is filed under the name uncultured bacterium. Its description in RNAcentral is "partial 16S ribosomal RNA". It matches the Rfam family "Bacterial small subunit ribosomal RNA", at positions 338 to 795 of the family's 1533-position model. The record is from RNAcentral.